Molecule: ribosomal RNA, 439 nt
Filed under: uncultured bacterium
Lineage: Bacteria
Description: partial 16S ribosomal RNA
Rfam family: Bacterial small subunit ribosomal RNA
Source: RNAcentral
CUACGGGUGGCUCCAGUGAGGAAUAUUGCACAAUGGGGGGAACCCUGAUGCAGCAACGCCGCGUGGAGGAUGACGCAUUUCGGUGUGUAAACUCCUUUUAUAUGUCAAGAAAAUGACGGUAGCAUAUGAAUAAGCACCGGCUAACUCCGUGCCAGCAGCCGCGGUAAUACGGAGGGUGCAGGCGUUACUCGGAAUCACUGGGCGUAAAGGACGCGUAGGCGGGUUGGAAAGUCAGGUGUGAAAUCCUACAGCUUAACUGUAGAACCGCACUUGAAACUUCUAAUCUAGAGUAUGGGAGGGGGAGAUGGAAUUAGUGGUGUAGGGGUAAAAUCCGUAGAUAUCACUAGGAAUACCUAAAGCGAAGGCGAUCUCCUGGAACAUUACUGACGCUAAGGCGUGAAAGCGUGGGGAGCAAACAGGAUUAGAUACCCUCGUAGUC